Molecule: ribosomal RNA, 465 nt
Filed under: uncultured bacterium
Lineage: Bacteria
Description: partial 16S ribosomal RNA
Rfam family: Bacterial small subunit ribosomal RNA
Source: RNAcentral
CCUACGGGUGGCAGCAGUGGGGAAUUUUGGACAAUGGGCGCAAGCCUGAUCCAGCUAUUCCGCGUGUGGGAAGACGGCCUUCGGGUUGUAAACCACUUUUGUAGAGAACGAAAAGUCUGUUGAUAAUACCGAUAGAUGAUGACGGUACUCUAAGAAUAAGCACCGGCUAACUACGUGCCAGCAGCCGCGGUAAUACGUAGGGUGCGAGCGUUAAUCGGAAUUACUGGGCGUAAAGGGUGUGCAGGCGGUUUUGCAAGAUGAAUGUGAAAGCCCCGGGCUUAACCUGGGAAAGCCAUACAUUACUGCAAGACUAGAGUGCGUCAGAGGGGAGUGGAAUUCCAAGUGUAGCAGUGAAAUGCGUAGAUAUUUGGAAGAACACCGAUGGCGAAGGCAGCCCCCUGGGACGCAACUGACGCUCAUACACGAAAGCGUGGGGAGCAAACAGGAUUAGAUACCCUUGUAGUC